UGCCGCGUGAUUGAUGAAGGCCCUAGGGUUGUAAAGAUCUUUCAACAGUGAAGAUAAUGACGGUAACUGUAGAAGAAGCUCCGGCUAACUCCGUGCCAGCAGCCGCGGUAAUACGGAGGGAGCUAGCGUUGUUCGGAAUUACUGGGCGUAAAGCGCGCGUAGGCGGAUUAUUAAGUCAGAGGUGAAAUCCCGGGGCUCAACCCCGGAACUGCCUUUGAUACUGGUAGUCUAGAGGUCGAGAGAGGUGAGUGGAAUUCCGAGUGUAGAGGUGAAAUUCGUAGAUAUUCGGAGGAACACCAGUGGCGAAGGCGGCUCACUGGCUCGAUACUGACGCUGAGGUGCGAAAGUGUGGGUAGCAAACAGGAUUAGAUACCCUGGUAGUCCACACCGUAAACGAUGAAUGCUAGUCGUCAGGGGACUUGUCCUUUGGUGACGCAGCUAACGCAUUAAGCAUUCCGCCUGGGGAGUACGGUCGCAAGAUUAAAACUCAAAGGAAUUGACGGGG
This 505-nucleotide ribosomal RNA is filed under the name uncultured Paracoccaceae bacterium. Its description in RNAcentral is "bacterial SSU rRNA". It matches the Rfam family "Bacterial small subunit ribosomal RNA", at positions 395 to 918 of the family's 1533-position model. The record is from RNAcentral. Lineage: Bacteria; Pseudomonadati; Pseudomonadota; Alphaproteobacteria; Rhodobacterales; Paracoccaceae.